UGAUGAGGGUUUGAUCCUGGCUCAGGACGAACGCUGGCGGCGCGCCUUACGCAUGCAAGUCGCACGGACCUUCGGGUGAGUGGCAGACGGCUGAGUAACGCGUAGGUAACCUGUCCAGUGGUGGGGGAUAACCCUUCGAAAGAAG
RNAcentral lists this ribosomal RNA (145 nucleotides) under Chloroflexota bacterium. RNAcentral's name for it is "Chloroflexi bacterium partial 16S ribosomal RNA". It matches the Rfam family "Bacterial small subunit ribosomal RNA", at positions 1 to 160 of the family's 1533-position model. Lineage: Bacteria; Bacillati; Chloroflexota. The record is from RNAcentral.